This is a long non-coding RNA of Alligator mississippiensis (American alligator), 3248 nucleotides long. RefSeq lists it as uncharacterized. The transcript is spliced from 3 exons. Lineage: Eukaryota; Metazoa; Chordata; Crocodylia; Alligatoridae. The record is from RefSeq and is a predicted model, not a curated record.
UGUUUCUCCUCAGGAUGCUUUCUUUCAACAGUAUUUUUAACCAAAAUGUUUUUAAAUGUCCUGGUUUACUCCACUCCUCCUGACUCAGCCAUUCUGUUAAUUAUGUUUUCUCUUGGAGGUAUUUUUUCUCCUUUGAUUAUUGGAUUUCUUAUGUGUUGCCCCCUUCUUUCCCAAUCUGAUUUUGCCUCCUGUAUUUUCACUUAUGCUCUUUUAAGUCCAUUAAUUUCCUUUCUUCUGUAUCCUGGUUUUGUAUCUUGCAAAAAAUGUCAGAGGUGCCUCUCGUACUCCCUUUUUCUUUCUCUCUCUCUACUCCCCUUCCCCAUUCCUCAGUUCUGUUUUCCUUUGCCCCUACAGAUGAUACUUUCCUCCAGUGAUGCUUUCCCAAUGCCACUGGGCCCAGCCCUCUUUCCUUCCACAGUGACUCUGCUCUCUCUUCUGUCACACUCUGUAAACAGCAUGACACAAGCACUACACAUGGAGUUACAGAGCAGAGCUGGGAGGCAAAGCAGCAAGACAAGAUGGCCUGGACUGCCAGCACAGGCAGAACGCCACCAGGAAUACAUGAAACUUAGCGCAUUUCUGACUGACAGAAUACAUAUUCCAAACCAAAAGCACAGAUGACAAAGCAGACUUGGCUGCAGUAGCUACCUGGAAAUUCAGGGGCAGUUGUCUUUCUUAUCACUUCAUCUGUCGCAAGUCAGCUGUAAACCAGAGUCACCGAUCCCCAAAGCCUUCUUGCAAUACGAGGGAUCUCUCCUGAUGCUGAUGCUCAUCUGCCCUGACUCCUGAUCAAUCGGAAUUCAGCUGUCAGAUCUUGCUGGAGUGGAGGGGUGCUUACAUUAUACCUGAUCAUCCCUCAAGGGACCUCACCCGGUUUUACAACAUAACCCAUCGCAUCAGUCAACACAUCUCAGACUGCUGACAAGCUGGACGAGCUGGGUUCUAAUCCUAGCAACAUUUAAUCUCCAACCCUAAAUUACCAUGGAUUCUUAGACUAUUUGGUUUAGCCCAGGCCUAAUUCCAAUGUUACCAUUGAUUUGUUCUAUCAAUUUCCCCAUGGCCCUUUUAAUCAAUCCAUCUUUGUGCCUUCACACCUUUACAGUUUCACUGAUUGGCUCUGCUACCUUCAGCCUCUAUAGUGAAAUAGUACAAUGUUUCCAUUGUACUAUCCCCCUACAUCCCAUAUAUACCUCCUCCUCUCUUUGGUUCAGUAAAAUAAGCUCUUGAAAAGACCUCACUACCUUUCAGAAGUAUUCUGCUCUUCUAGUAAGAAUAUAAGUAAUAGUGUUUUUUCAUAAUGAUUUAAAACCCAAUAAAAAUGAAAAAAAUAUUAGUUGGUAGUUGCUGACUUCGAAGGAAUUUUUUUGUCAUUGAGAAGUAUUGGGACAUGUUUAUAUCAAUCUAGAUUGCAUGUCUAUGGUCAGUAAAUAGAACUAAAAUGUGGUAAGGAGUAAGACAAUCGCUGGACAAAAAAUAAGGUGCAAAUGGGGACAUUGUUGCAUUCUUUUCAUGAAAGACAUCUGGUGGUGCAGAGAGCCCAUUAGCCAUUCUGUUCUGCAUUAUCACCAUCAUUUAUCAGCAUCUACAUCACACGUCACAGCUACUAUCCUUUCUGGUACCCAUUGUGGUACCACAGAAUUUCUGGGGAACAUUUAGUUUAGACUCCUGGCUUCCACUUUAUGAUACACUAGGCCAUGUAUUAAUUGUGAUGUAAAUAGUUUUUUUCCCCAGUAUACGCCUAAGGAAACAUUUAGCAAAACAAAGUGGUGUGAUUUGGACAACUCCAGGAAGCAUAGCCAAAUAAAGCCACAGCACAACCUAGCCUGUCCUCUCUCUCAUAUGUUUCACUAGAACUAAAAGAAUAGCACACACUGGGUGGGGAGCGGGAAAAAUACAGCUAAUCAGCCACCAUCAGUGUGCAAGCUUCUUCCAGUGGAACUUGUCACCUGAGUCCUGUCUCAAAUUACUAUGAACAGUUAAAUCAGUAAAAAAAUCUGAUUCUUCUCUAAACCAUAGCCCUAUAUAUAUUUGUAUAUACAUGCUCUUCUGUCUGAGUUUUGUGUGCAUGGAAGUCUUGAGCACAGUUGAGAAAGUAAGUAGAGACCCCCUUGUAACUGUGAUCUACAGAGUUUAUAGAUAUUAUCUGGAGAGUUUCUGCCGGCCAUGUUAGAAUCGACAUUUGAGUAUAUGAUCCUACUAAUAUACCUUUCAAAGACCAAUAUAUUGAAAGAGAAAUGCCAAUUAAACUAGCUAAGCAGACUAAAUAAAAUACACUGUGGGCAUGUCUACACAAGACAUUUACUGAUCAGUUGACUAAUUAGCUGCAAAGUAAACAUUUGCAUAUCUACAUGUGAGCCCCUAUUAGGCUGGAGUAAAACAGCUCUGCCGCAGCGCACGUGUAGGUACUGAGCCAGCUGGCUGGGGCACAAGGUUAGCCCCACACUGAAGCACCCCCAUGCCCCAGCCAGCCCCUCCACAGCACAUUGAAUCUGGGGAGAGCAGCCCUGGGCUGGCAGGCUGUCCCCAGGAUCCUGCAAGCCAGGGUUGCUUUGACUUGGCUCAAUGUGUUGCACUUCCAGGCACACAUGCAGAUGUGACACCCAGGAGCAAUUGCUCCAGAGUUUAUUCAUGAGCACUAAUGGUACAUGUAGACAUGCCCUGCAGUAGUCUUUUUAGUCCUGAAGAUGUGGGUUCAACAAGUUGUGUGGCCUCAGACACACCUCCAGUAGAAAUCUGCCCAUGCCUUAAAACCAGCACAAAUUCUAUACGUGCCCUGCCAAUUAGGGCUGAAAUAUCUCAUUAGAGCUGUAGGAGGCGUUUCUUUCAAGCAGCUGAGGUGCUGCUAUCAGUUCAAGCCAAUGGUGUAAAACAGUAUCUUUUUUCCAAACAUACUACAUUUCUGUCUCUUCCCCCGAGAGACAAAGCCCACUUUUGGGAGGGAAAAUCGUGUGUUCCACUAGUUUGGAGUAUAAAACUGAAUCACCUUUAUUCUGACACCGACUCCACUCUGGAUUUCAGUGAGUCAAUUAACUUUGCCCCUGCCUCAGUUUUGCUAGAGAUGAUAGCAUUUGCCUACCUCUGCAGCAGAUUGUGCAGAUUAAUUAAUGUUUGUACAGUGCUUUGAAAAUGAAAAAUGCUGUGUAAGUACUAGAUUUUAUUAAUAAAAAUAAUCAUAAUUUCAGAGGAUACAAGUCUAUCCUGCAACCUUUUCUAACAAGAUUUUUCCAUCUCCAACAACUGAACAUGUA